RNAcentral lists this ribosomal RNA (698 nucleotides) under Triatoma nigromaculata. RNAcentral's name for it is "SSU rRNA". It matches the Rfam family "Eukaryotic small subunit ribosomal RNA", at positions 502 to 1114 of the family's 1831-position model. The record is from RNAcentral. Lineage: Eukaryota; Metazoa; Arthropoda; Insecta; Hemiptera; Reduviidae.
CCCGUAAUCGGAAUGAGUACACUUUAAAUCCUUUAACAAGGAUCCAUUGGAGGGCAAGUCUGGUGCCAGCAGCCGCGGUAAUUCCAGCUCCAAUAGCGUAUAUUAAAGUUGUUGCGGUUAAAAAGCUCGUAGUUGGUUCUGCGUGCCGCGCUGUCGGUUCGCCGCCUGUCGGUGUAACUGGCAUGUCGCGGCAUGUCCUGUCGGUGGUGAACGGAGUCCACGACGCUACAUAGGCUUUAUAGUCAAUGUUAGCGUCGUGUGUACUUCCGUUGGCCGAUCUCUCCUACUUCGGUGCUCUUAAACGAGUGUCGAGGUAGGCCGACACGUUCACUUUGAACAAAUUAGAGUGCUUAAAGCAGGCUAAAAUAUCUGCCUGAAUAGUGGUGCAUGGAAUGAUAAAACAGGACCUCGGUUCUAUUUUGUUGGUUUUAGGAAUAUGAGGUAAUGAUCAAUGUGGACUGGCGGGGGCAUUCGUAUUGCGACGUUAGAGGUGAAAUUCUUGGAUCGUCGCAAGACGCACUAGAGCGAAAGCAUUUGCCAAGUAUGUCUUAAUUGAUCAAGAACGAAAGUUAGAGGUUCGAAGGCGAUCAGAUACCGCCCUAGUUCUAACCAUAAACGAUGCCAGCCAGCGAUCCGCCAAUGUUCCUUUAAUGACUCGGCGGGGAGCUUCCACCCGGGAAACCAAAGCUUUUGGGUUC